RNAcentral lists this ribosomal RNA (253 nucleotides) under uncultured bacterium. RNAcentral's name for it is "partial 16S ribosomal RNA". It matches the Rfam family "Bacterial small subunit ribosomal RNA", at positions 524 to 776 of the family's 1533-position model. The record is from RNAcentral.
UACGUAGGCAGCGAGCGUUGUUCGGAGUUACGGGGCGUAAAGGGUGCGCAGGCGGUGGAGCAAGUCUGUUGUGAAAUCUCCCGGCUUAACCGGGAGGGUGCGGCGGAAACUGUUCUGCUGGAGUGAGGGAGAGGCAAGCGGAAUUCCUGGUGUAGCGGUGAAAUGCGUAGAUAUCAGGAGGAACACCCGUGGUGCAGACGGCUUGCUGGACCUCCACUGACGCUGAGGCACGAAAGCGUGGGGAGCAAACAGG